ACCUUCGUGGUGUAACGGUAGCACACUUGGCGUGUAUUCGAGGGGUUCAGGGUUCGAAUCCCGGCGAAGCCA
This 72-nucleotide transfer RNA is filed under the name Stegodyphus mimosarum. It matches the Rfam family "tRNA". Rfam says of the family: Transfer RNA (tRNA) molecules are approximately 80 nucleotides in length. Their secondary structure includes four short double-helical elements and three loops (D, anti-codon, and T loops). The record is from Rfam by way of RNAcentral. Lineage: Eukaryota; Metazoa; Arthropoda; Arachnida; Araneae; Eresidae.